Molecule: ribosomal RNA, 253 nt
Filed under: uncultured bacterium
Lineage: Bacteria
Description: partial 16S ribosomal RNA
Rfam family: Bacterial small subunit ribosomal RNA
Source: RNAcentral
UACGUAGGGGGCGAGCGUUGUCCGGAAUUACUGGGCGUAAAGCGCGCGCAGGCGGCCGCGUCAGUCGGACGUGAAAGCCCUCGGCUCAACCGAGGAGGGUCGUCCGGGACGGCGUGGCUCGAGGCUGUCAGAGGGGGGUGGAAUGCCGGGUGGAGCGGUGAAAUGCGUAGAGACCCGGCGGAACACCGGCGGCGAAGGCGGCCCCCUGGGGCAGAUCUGACGCUCAGGCGCGAAGGCCGGGGGAGCGAACGGG